GAUGAACGCUGGCGGCGUGCCUAAUACAUGCAAGUCGAACGAGGUCUUCGGACCUAGUGGCGAACGGGUGAGUAACACGUUGGUACCUACCCCGAAGUGGGGAAUAACUGGCCGAAAGGUCGGCUAAUACCGCAUAUGACCGCAAGGUUAAAGCAGUAAUGCGCUUCGGGAGGGGCCUGCGUCUGAUUAGCUAGUUGGUGGGGUAACUGCCCACCAAGGCGACGAUCAGUAGCUGGAUCGAGAGGUUGACCAGCCACACUGGGACUGAGA
This 270-nucleotide ribosomal RNA is filed under the name uncultured bacterium. Its description in RNAcentral is "partial 16S ribosomal RNA". It matches the Rfam family "Bacterial small subunit ribosomal RNA", at positions 28 to 324 of the family's 1533-position model. The record is from RNAcentral.